UUGGAAAAUAUUUGUGGAGCAGCUAAUAGUGGGACUUCAGAGAGGGAUGGCUUGACUCUUCCCACUCAUUAGCCCCCGCAGCUUCCCGGUGAAAUUCCCUCCGUUGCUGUCUCUUCAUUUCCCUUCCUUGUGGCUGUGCUAUUUCCCCUUCUGAUUCCUAUCUGUCUCCCCACCUCACACUGAGCUUGCUUAUACCAAAGACUAAAUGUUCAAAGUAGAAAGGAAUCUGGAAGUAGGAUUUUUAUGUUUCAGAGCCCAGUACUUCUGGAUGCCCAGCCUGGGAGCCACCAACGAUGCCAUUGGUUGGUAGGGUUAAUUUUUUGAAUAUAUGAUGCUCUGAAACAUAGGUUCUGUGGUUAUGUACAACAGGAUGGUGCUACUGAAGACAUGAGGCCAGACUUCUGACCACUGAAGAGCUAGGUCUUCAAAGGGUUCUGCCAUUCAAAGGUAAUUGAAGCAGGACAUCAAGGACGCUUGGACACCAAAGACUCUUGUCCAUCCUAGGAGUGUCAGGUCCUGGAAGUCAUCUGUCAUUGGCCACUGAAUUAUCACUCUACAGAGGAGGAGAUUGGAACAGAAAGAGAUUAAGAGAUCAGAUCAAGAACACAGCAGGAAAGUGGCAGAGCCAGGAUGAGAACCCAGAUUCCAUGAUCUCAGCCUCAAGUACCUUCAGUUCACUACAUGGGCUCCUUUUAGCCUUGUUAAUGCUGCAGAUUUCUCCCUGCUCCAAGUCCCUGUUCUAUAUCAGCCUCUGUUCAAGAACCUACUAUGAUUCCCCAGGGCAGGAAUAUCCCUGGAAAGUGUGAGCCCUAGACAAAUAUAUUUUGAGGGGCCUUAUUUACAUAAAUGAUUUUAUUAAAAAAUUGGGCCAUGUGAGGCAUAGUGAUUUACUGAUGAAGGUUUAGAAUCAUGGGUGUUUGUUUAUUGCCCAGUGUGAAAAUUCUUGGGUCUUUAUCCCUUGUGAAUGCGAGAUCCCCCACAUCAGUAUGGCAGCACUAUUGUAGAGGCACAAAGCCAUGCAAUCUCACAAAAGAAAUGACUGGUACCUUGUCAGUGUUGGUGGCUACAUGUGCUGACCAGGCCACUCUUCUCAACUAGCCCCCACCUUGGGUCUAGGAGGAUCCCCUAGAAGUGAGUGCUGGGACUCUUCUGAAUAACUGAUCAAACUUAACAGGCUAACUAGGAAGUAAGAUAGUACCAUGAAGAGAAAAAAUGGGAGCUGGCUUGGACACUUCAAGUUAGGGACUUCAGGUUAGGAACUUCCUUCAAGAAAAGCCAUCCUAAUUGUGGGAACAUCUGAGAUAUGGAAAGUCAAAGCAGAAAUUCCAACUGGACGGAGCAGUACAGUCUCAUGAGCUGGUUAAUAAAAUAGAAUGCCACAGAAGAAUACUUCAGAGUCACUCUUCAUAGUUUUAUGAAGCCUUCUGAUCAAUUGCAUUGUAUGUUAAAUACAUAGGAAC
Molecule: long non-coding RNA, 1460 nt
Organism: Talpa occidentalis (Iberian mole)
Lineage: Eukaryota; Metazoa; Chordata; Mammalia; Eulipotyphla; Talpidae
Exons: 3
Source: RefSeq, a predicted model, not a curated record